CGCGGCCUAUCAGCUUGUUGGUGGGGUAACGGCCUACCAAGGCGACGACGGGUAGCCGGCCUGAGAGGGCGACCGGCCACACUGGGACUGAGACACGGCCCAGACUCCUACGGGAGGCAGCAGUGGGGAAUAUUGCGCAAUGGGCGGAAGCCUGACGCAGCGACGCCGCGUGGGGGAUGAAGGCCUUCGGGUUGUAAACCGCUUUCAGCAGGGACGAAAUUGACGGUACCUGCAGAAGAAGGCCCGGCCAACUACGUGCCAGCAGCCGCGGUAAUACGUAGGGGCCUAGCGUUGUCCGGAAUUAUUGGGCGUAAAGAGCUCGUAGGCGGUUCGGCAAGUCGGAUGUGAAAUCUCCACGCUUAACGUGGAGGGGCCAUUCGAAACUGCUGUGACUCGAGUCCGGUAGGGGAGCGUGGAAUUCCCGGUGUAGCGGUGAAAUGCGCAGAGAUCAGGAGGAACACCCGUAGCGAAGGCGGCACUCUGGGCCGAUACUGACACUGAGGAGCGAAAGCGUGGGGAGCGAACAGGAUUAGAUACCCUGGUAGUCCACGCCGUAAACGUUGGGCACUAGGUGUGGGGUUCUAUCGACGGAUUCCGUGCCGUAGCUAACGCAUUAAGUGCCCCGCCUGGGGAGUAC
This 637-nucleotide ribosomal RNA is filed under the name uncultured bacterium. RNAcentral's name for it is "bacterial SSU rRNA". It matches the Rfam family "Bacterial small subunit ribosomal RNA", at positions 232 to 883 of the family's 1533-position model. The record is from RNAcentral.